CAAAGGUUUGGUCCUGGCCUUGUGGUCAGUUAUUACUUACUAUACACAUGCAAGUAUCCGCCCCCCUGUGAAAACGCCCUUCAACCCCCAUUAGGGACAAGGAGCCGGUAUCAGGCGCGAAAAUCCGCCCAAGACACCUAGCUAUGCCACACCCACAAGGGAAUUCAGCAGUGAUUAACAUUGAGCAUUAGCGCAAGCUUGACUCAGUUAAAGUAUAGAGAGCCGGCUAAUCUGGUGCCAGCCGCCGCGGUUACACCACGUGACUCAAAUUGACCCCCUCCGGCGUAAAGCGUGAUUAAAGUUUCCACUUACUAGAGUUAAACUAAAACUAAGCUGUGACACGCCUGUUAUCAAGAAACCCAAAAACGAAAGUUACUCUAACACAACCAACUUGAACUCACGACAGCUGGG
RNAcentral lists this ribosomal RNA (411 nucleotides) under Bufo gargarizans miyakonis (Miyako toad). Its description in RNAcentral is "partial 12S ribosomal RNA". The record is from RNAcentral. Lineage: Eukaryota; Metazoa; Chordata; Amphibia; Anura; Bufonidae.